UUGGGUGUUAACCCGCACGCGUAAUGAAAGUGAACGUAGGUGAGAGCUUCGGCGCAUCAUCGACCGAUCCUGAUGUAUUCGGAUGGAUUUGAGUAGGAGCGUUAAGCCUUGGACCCGAAAGAUGGUGAACUAUGCUUGGAUAGGGUGAAGCCAGAGGAAACUCUGGUGGAGGCUCGCAGCGGUUCUGACGUGCAAAUCGAUCGUCAAAUCUGAGCAUGGGGGCGAAAGACUAAUCGAACCAUCUAGUAGCUGGUUACCGCCGAAGUUUCCCUCAGGAUAGCAGUGUUGUUCUUCAGUUUUAUGAGGUAAAGCGAAUGAUUAGGGACUCGGGGGCGCUUUAUAGCCUUCAUCCAUUCUCAAACUUUAAAUAUGUAAGAAGCCCUUGUUACUUAAUUGAACGUGGGCAUUCGAAUGUACCAACACUAGUGGGCCAUUUUUGGUAAGCAGAACUGGCGAUGCGGGAUGAACCGAACGCGAGGUUAAGGUGCCGGAGUGGACGCUCAUCACACACCACAAAACGCGUUAGUACAUCUUGACAGCACGACGCUGGCCAUGGAAGUCGGAAUCCGCUAAGGACUGUGUAACAACUCACCUGCCGAAUGUACUAGCCCUGAAAUGGAUGGCGCUCAGCGUCUCAUCCAUACCUCGCCCUCAUGGUAGAAAGAUGCCUGAGGAGUAGGCAGCCGUGGACGUCAUGACAAACCUAAGGAUGAGCC
Molecule: ribosomal RNA, 716 nt
Filed under: fungal sp. I15F-00310
Lineage: Eukaryota; Fungi
Description: LSU rRNA
Rfam family: Eukaryotic large subunit ribosomal RNA
Source: RNAcentral